RNAcentral lists this ribosomal RNA (490 nucleotides) under uncultured Lachnospiraceae bacterium. RNAcentral's name for it is "bacterial SSU rRNA". It matches the Rfam family "Bacterial small subunit ribosomal RNA", at positions 172 to 679 of the family's 1533-position model. The record is from RNAcentral. Lineage: Bacteria; Bacillati; Bacillota; Clostridia; Lachnospirales; Lachnospiraceae.
CAUAAGCGCACAGAGCUGCAUGGCUCAGUGUGAAAAACUCCGGUGGUAUAAGAUGGACCCGCGUUGGAUUAGCUGGUUGGUGGGGUAACGGCCCACCAAGGCGACGAUCCAUAGCCGGCCUGAGAGGGUGAACGGCCACAUUGGGACUGAGACACGGCCCAGACUCCUACGGGAGGCAGCAGUGGGGAAUAUUGCACAAUGGGGGAAACCCUGAUGCAGCGACGCCGCGUGAAGGAAGAAGUAUCUCGGUAUGUAAACUUCUAUCAGCAGGGAAGAUAGUGACGGUACCUGACUAAGAAGCCCCGGCUAACUACGUGCCAGCAGCCGCGGUAAAACGUAGGUCACAAGCGUUGUCCGGAAUUACUGGGUGUAAAGGGAGCGCAGGCGGGAAGACAAGUUGGAAGUGAAAUCCAUGGGCUCAACCCAUUGAACUGCUUUCAAAACUGUUUUUCUUGAGUAGUGCAGAGGUAGGCGGAAUUCCCGGUGUAGC